Molecule: ribosomal RNA, 275 nt
Filed under: uncultured Porphyrobacter sp.
Lineage: Bacteria; Pseudomonadati; Pseudomonadota; Alphaproteobacteria; Sphingomonadales; Erythrobacteraceae
Description: partial 16S ribosomal RNA
Rfam family: Bacterial small subunit ribosomal RNA
Source: RNAcentral
CCUUAGUUGUCCAUCAUUAAGUUGGGUCGACUUUUAAGGAAACUGCCGGUGGAUAAGCCGGAGGAAGUGGGGAUGACGUCAAGUCCUCAUGGCCCUUACAGGCUGGGCUACACACGUGCUACAAUGGCAUCUACAGUGGGCAGCUAUUCCGCAAGGAUGCGCUAAUCUCCAAAAGAUGUCUCAGUUCGGAUUGUCCUCUGCAACUCGAGGGCAUGAAGGCGGAAUCGCUAGUAAUCGUGGAUCAGCAUGCCACGGUGAAUACGUUCCCGGGCCUU